CGCGCAGGCGGCCUCUUAAGUCUGAUGUGAAAGCCCCCGGCUCAACCGGGGAGGGCCAUUGGAAACUGGGAGGCUUGAGUAUGGGAGAGAAGAGUGGAAUUCCACGUGUAGCGGUGAAAUGCGUAGAGAUGUGGAGGAACACCAGUGGCGAAGGCGACUCUUUGGCCUAUAACUGACGCUCAUAUGCGAAAGCGUGGGGAUCAAACAGGAUUAGAUACCCUUGA
RNAcentral lists this ribosomal RNA (224 nucleotides) under uncultured Exiguobacterium sp. RNAcentral's name for it is "partial 16S ribosomal RNA". It matches the Rfam family "Bacterial small subunit ribosomal RNA", at positions 568 to 791 of the family's 1533-position model. Lineage: Bacteria; Bacillati; Bacillota; Bacilli; Caryophanales. The record is from RNAcentral.